This 1710-nucleotide long non-coding RNA is filed under the name Triticum aestivum (bread wheat). Its description in RNAcentral is "long non-coding RNA (TAES_LNC022238)". Lineage: Eukaryota; Viridiplantae; Streptophyta; Magnoliopsida; Poales; Poaceae. The record is from RNAcentral.
AGAAUGUGUCUCAAGACUCGAGUAUAUCACUUCAGUUCCUUCAAUGGCCGCAACUGUUAUGCAGGGAUCAAAUCAAAUAUCAAGGGAUUCUGUAGUUCAGUCACUGAAAGAGUUGUCGGGGAAGCCUGCUGAACAAGUGUUUGUAAACAGUGUAAAACUACCAAGUGAUUCUAUUGUUGAAUUCUUCGAUGGUCUAUGUACUAUUUCUGCUGAAGAACUUAAACAGACACCUCCUCGUGUCUUCAGCUUGCAAAAGCUUGUUGAAAUAAGCUACUACAAUAUGGCACGGAUACGUUUGGUAUGCUUUUGUCUAUCAUUGUUUGCAUUAUGCUUCCUAUUGUUCUCUUAGCAAUUCUUGUGUUAUUUCAUGAGACUUAAUUUUCAGUGACAUAGUGAAGAGAUAAAUAAGUAGGUCGAAAUUGCUUACUUUCUUACUAUUAUAUGCCAUUGUAGAGGAUGCUUCAUUGAAUCAGGCAAUAUCUUCAUUCUGUGAGAAAGAUUUUUUAUUUUUUAUUCAAAGAAGAACUAACAUAAUUUUAUAUUAUGUUAGAAAGGCCUGCUUAUUUUUCAUUGAGAGCAUUAUGGGGGCAGGGGAGAGUUGAGACUGGUUUAUUCAGAAUUGUUUUUGUUUAGCCAUUGGCCAUUGGCCAUUCAGUUUAUGCCCAUGUAAACUAUAGAAUGACCCUAAUUUCUAAAUAUAUGAAGUUGUGGAUAUGCACCUAAUUGGUGAGCGUCCUUGAAUUUUACUCAACUGAGAGCCUGAACACCUAAUUUUUCAAGUUCUUCUGGAUGAAGGGAUGCACCCCUACCUGAUUUUUUUAAGAAAUAUGCUGUUUUACUGAAAUAUACAAUCGAACUGGGUACAAUCUACUGGAAUCUCUAGGGCGUGCUGAAAUCACAAUUUACUAUAUAAUUGGAGGUGAUUACCGGGUACCACUGCAAACAGGUUCAGUAGGGUUUAUUUACCAUUCUGUUUAGGGUCGCCGUGUUCAGCCAAUUGUCAGAUGGCCAUCUUUCCCUUCAAGAAAAAAUAGGAAAAUAAAAAGAAAAUCACUGUGCUGAGGAAUUUUAUCAAUAACUUGAUGGAGAUGGGCCUGCGAUUGUGUGCGGAGUGAGCAGAUACAGCAGCAUAUGCAGCCACCUCAGGUACAGUCUUGGAGGGUUGGUUUCUGGCUCGGCAGGAGAUAGGGGGCCACACCUGGGUUCAGCCCUUUCUGUGGUAUACCACAUGUGCACUGGGAAUGAUGUGCAGCAGUGGAGCGAGCACAUGUGAAUGGUCUGCGUAGGGGGGAUGGCGUCCCAAUUAAGUGGGGGAGAAAAAGUAAACUUCAUAGAAAAUGCGUGGGGAAAGUUUGGGCCUUUCUCAAAUAUAUGUUUGGCAAGUGGUAGAAAACGCCAUAGCUUAUGUGAAGCAGCACAAAGUUGUGGAUGAGCAACUUCACCUUGCUGCUACAAUGUGUGCAGCACAAGUGUUGAAGGAACAACUUCAACGUGCUGCGCUAGAUAUUGCUCUAGAGGCGAAUAUAGGCCGAUAGGGCAGCAGGAGUUCAAUCCAAAACUCAUAGAACGCUAGAUCUAGUCCAAGAUCUUAGAUAAGAACACCAAGUUCUAUUAUAGGCAGUGGGGGUACAUAGUCUCCCUACAAACUAGAGGUGAGGACCUCUAUUUAUAGGGCUUUGGGAAGCCUACACAUACUUCUACUUAUGGCUA